Molecule: long non-coding RNA, 570 nt
Organism: Galeopterus variegatus (Sunda flying lemur)
Lineage: Eukaryota; Metazoa; Chordata; Mammalia; Dermoptera; Cynocephalidae
Exons: 4
Source: RefSeq, a predicted model, not a curated record
UCUCGGAGACAAAGAGAAGAGGCUGAAGAACAGGUCGUGCAAGUGUGCCUGGCUUGUCCCCAACCACCUGGAGAUUUUAUGAGUAGAGCAUUUCAGUGACUGUUACAAGGCUAGUGGUUCUCAAGCUCCAGCUGCAGGAGACUCACCGGAGGGCUUGUUACAAACACCGAUUUCCAGGCCCCACCCCCAGAGGCUUGAUUGAGUAGGUCUGAGGCGGGGUCAAGAAUUUGCAUAGCUCACAAGUUUCCAGAUGAUGCUGAGGCUGCUGGUUAAGAACUGCAUUUUGAGAAUCCCAGCAUGGAAGUGGAUUGAAGACGUAACCCAGCCUCCAACUGCGAGCUCCGCCCCUGGAGACCGGGACAAGGGUUGCUGUGGAGAUCAAGGGAGUGAAUUCACCCAAAAUGUUUGAGUCUAACAUGUGGCAUAUGUAGGAAGAAAACAAGAGCUGGAGUACUCACCUUGGAUCCAGAGAUAGAAGAGCCAUUUUGAGGGUGGCCAGAGUUGCCCCACCAGCCCCAAACAACCUACCUCUUACCUCUUGCAUACAAAAAAAAUAAAUGAUCUUGUUUA